This is a long non-coding RNA of Ictalurus furcatus (blue catfish), 1570 nucleotides long. RefSeq lists it as uncharacterized. The record is from RefSeq and is a predicted model, not a curated record. Lineage: Eukaryota; Metazoa; Chordata; Actinopteri; Siluriformes; Ictaluridae. The transcript is spliced from 2 exons.
AGAUGCCUCACUAACACAUUUCCCACAGGAUGGCUUACACUCUCUGGCUACAGCUGCCUCUACUGACCCAUCGACUCCACAAAACAAAAAAAUCCUAGAGGAGGAGGAGGAGAUUAGAGAUGAGGAAGACGAGCUGAAGAAGGUCCAGCAGGAAGAACUGGCAGAACCAAAUGCGAUAUGGCAAGCAAACGCCUCUGAGAUUAAGGCAUGAUCCGGCAAGCCCAAAGACGAAAGCGGCAACGUCACGAUGAACACGCAAAUGUUCUUUCUACAGUGCCCUUAAUGAUCUUUUGUUUCUGAAACAACAAAGCGUAUCAGAAGCUUGUUCAUUUUUAAGACUGAAAUCUGGUGUACAUAAUGUAUGUAUGCCUUUUUCCAUUUCGUGUUCGUUUCUGUUAAAUGAAGUAAAACCUCAAAGCAUCUCUGUUGCUCUUUUCCUUGAGUUGGCUGCAAAUUCCAAGUUUGAUAUUUUUAAUAGAGGGUGUUUAUGAAAAACAGGCAUCUUGCAUUCAGGUGAAUCACAGCACAUAUUUGCUAAUAGUCCAGAUUAUAUUUUUAUUUUAUUUACAUAUUACUUUGUUUAAAUGGAAAUGAUUACUCCUAUUUUUUAAUCUGCAUCUUCUGAGGGCUAGUCUUGUUUAAUAGUUUGAUUGCAAAUCUUGUUUACAUUCUGGUUUUGUUUCUUGUUUGUUUGUUAACCAUUGUGUUUGAAGAUGUAAUGUAAAACCCACUGUACUACAUAUAAUGCAGUGAAACGCUAUGAAUGAGUGGUCUUCUAAUCACCAGAUUCAUUUAUAUUCUGUUAUUUCACAUCUACAUGUUUAUUAUUGUUAUUCUUAAUGCUUCUCUGACAAGUGGGAUUUUAUUUUUUUAUUUUUUUUCAAAACAUGCUAGCGCAAAUUCUAAUUUAAGUGAAAUCUGACCAUUUUUAUACCGUGUACCUCUGGGUGAAACAUUUGUAUUACACAGCUGACUGCAAGCUUGUGCACUGUGUUUGUGUAUUCUGUAAGUUUUUGAGAAUAUCUGCAUAGCUUAAUGGUUAAAGGUGGCUGAUUUUACUUUGGUAUAACAUUAUGUAAACUGACAUCUGUCUGUGUAAAAGAGGAUCAAUAUGACACUCCUAUCAUUUAAAGUGUUCUUGAUUCUCCACUACCAAUUGCAUGAGUGUCUGCUAGCCCAUCACCGAUGUUCCAAGAAAAGUGUAGGGCACAGAUGGCAGAUUUGAUCUAUAUGUGCAUGCCCAGAGCUGUGUGUAGGUUGACUUUUGGUGUUCAGCGUGCUAUAUAUUUCCAUCCAACAGCAGAUAUUCAGUCUCUGGGGUACAAAUAAGAACAGUGUAACUAUCCGUGCUCAAGGUAUAUAUUUAUUAUUAAUUUCCCCACUUUCAAUAUACUCAAAGCCAGUCUAACCAAACAGUGUACCUUGUGUUUCUGAGAUGGGGUCUAAUGGGGAAGUAAUGUGGGACAGUGAGUAAAACUGUGCUUUAAUCUGUUACGCUUAAAAAAACAAACAUGUUAUAAGUUGUGUUCUUCUAACACAUUUUGAUUAAACUAAUCAAAAUGCAAGUCUA